GUNUAGCGCGGUGGUCCCACCUGACCCCAUGCCGAACUCAGAAGUGAAACGCCGUAGCGCCGAUGGUAGUGUGGGGUCUCCCCAUGCGAGAGUAGGGAACU
RNAcentral lists this ribosomal RNA (101 nucleotides) under Salmonella enterica subsp. enterica serovar Weltevreden. Lineage: Bacteria; Pseudomonadati; Pseudomonadota; Gammaproteobacteria; Enterobacterales; Enterobacteriaceae. The record is from RNAcentral.